This 277-nucleotide ribosomal RNA is filed under the name uncultured Staphylococcus sp. Its description in RNAcentral is "partial 16S ribosomal RNA". It matches the Rfam family "Bacterial small subunit ribosomal RNA", at positions 505 to 781 of the family's 1533-position model. The record is from RNAcentral. Lineage: Bacteria; Bacillati; Bacillota; Bacilli; Caryophanales; Staphylococcaceae.
GUGCCAGCAGCCGCGGUAAUACGUAGGUGGCAAGCGUUAUCCGGAAUUAUUGGGCGUAAAGCGCGCGUAGGCGGUUUUUUAAGUCUGAUGUGAAAGCCCACGGCUCAACCGUGGAGGGUCAUUGGAAACUGGAAAACUUGAGUGCAGAAGAGGAAAGUGGAAUUCCAUGUGUAGCGGUGAAAUGCGCAGAGAUAUGGAGGAACACCAGCGGCGAAGGCGACUUUCUGGUCUGUAACUGACGCUGAUGUGCGAAAGCGUGGGGAUCAAACAGGAUUAG